Podarcis muralis (Common wall lizard) is the source of this 3628-nucleotide non-coding RNA. The record is from RefSeq and is a predicted model, not a curated record. NCBI's taxonomy places the organism in Eukaryota, Metazoa, Chordata, Lepidosauria, Squamata, Lacertidae.
AAUGGCACAAGGAAUAUCAAUUUCUGGAAACCACUGGGAGUGUGCUCAUGCGCUUAGGCUCUGCUUUGAGCUUCCCAGAGGCAACUGAGUGGCUACUGUUAGAACAGGAUACUGGAGCAGUUGUGCAGGCUCAAAAUUCUCUUCCUUCACCCUACAGACUGGCUCUGAUGGAAGAAAUCACCAGAGGGCAUAAUGCGUAAGAUUGAUAUCCGACACCCAGCACCUCUAACCAUCAAUAUGGUCAGUUCCAUAAAUUGUGCUUGGGUUCUGCAAGGUGAUGUAUAAUCAUAUACACUUAUGUUGACUCUCCCUCAGAAUCAAAGAAACAGGCUGAAAAAGUUUGGGAGCCUGAGUUACCAAUAGUUGAGCUGAUCCCAGCCAGGAAUCUAUUGUAGCAGAAGCGAUGGAUGAAGGUGCUCUUGCCAACUCCGGAAUUACCAAGAAACACUACUUUGAAGACACGGUCAGGAGAAGAACUAGCUGGCUCCAAUAUCUGGAUGUAAAAACCAUUAUCAAGGACAAGGGGAGUACUUCCUGGAGCAAGCUGCCUGUGCCAAGGCACGCAAACGAUGGGAAGAAAUGUCCAAAAGCAUCAGCACAAUCAACAUCAGCAUUUACAGAAAACUUACCCACACUUUCAUGUAAUGUCAGCACUGAUGAGGACAAGAAACCAACAAAAUGUGAGGAGGGAGGAGAGGAGCAGCAGCAGGUAUAUCAAUAGGUUCCAGAAUCCUUAAGGCAUAUCCAUACUACAAAUGUAUGCUGGUUUUUAAAUGAGUUUUGCCUCUUGGGGCUCCACUAGAUGGGACACUGAGAAUUGUACUUUUGGAGGGGCUCCAAGAAGUGUUAACACCCACAGAAAUGAAUGCAUGAACAAAACAAACAAUUAACAUGUGGAGGUGUGGACAGGGCCAGAGGCAAUGCUCAUAAUUUUUGGCAAACUACCUUGAUUGUCCAAUAUGCCUAUCUAGUUGUGCUCUAUAUUUACAUAUUACCAUCCCAAAGGAGGCCAGAGCUGCUCACAUAGUUCAGAAAUGUGUGAAAUAACUUUGCUUGUGGUGUUCUGCCCCUCCCCUCUAAAUGCAUGCAAUGUAGGAAACUUAAGGGUGUGUAUAUGUUGAAUCUCCUUGUUAUCAAAAUUAGACUCACCCCUCCUACCCCCCUACACAGUCUCAUUCAGUCACCAGUGCCCCACAGUCCCAAGUUCAUCAAAGGGCAAUUCCCCAAGGACACCCAUUGCCUCAACCUUAGUUCAGUUGAAGAGGAGAAAGGGAGAGAACAGUGUGACCCAACAGACCGACUGUGGUGACUACAGACCGACAGCAUGCAGUGGGACACAACACAACAUAUUCAGCUCUGACCGUUUGACUGGCUUCUCCUCCACUAGGUAUUUGCCUAUCGCUGACCCCUUCUUCAAGAGGGGUCUUUUGCUUUCAAGUGCCUGAAAAUUAGAGAGAGCAAUUUGGAAUCUGUCAUCUAAGUAAAUUAAGAAAAAACAAGCACCAUGUCACUUUGGGAGAGGCUCUCCAACAUUUAGUCAAGAUUACCCCAGGAGCUGCCAUUUUGUGGCUGAUGAGACAUUAAAAGGUUUUUCAGUUUUGGGUUUGGCAUACAGAAAGUACUCAACUUACUUCAGUACCCCACUUGUUAUUUAUAUUUAGAAUUUAAAUUCCAAUAACAAGUAAUGCAUUCUCAGGAUGAAAGUACAAUUUCCCAGCUUUAAAAUGCAUCCCAGAGAUGUAACAGCUCUGCACCCUGCUUCCAAAGUUGUGUGGAUCACUCACAACAGAUUAAUCAUAAUGGGACAUUUAUUGUGCUGAGUACGGUUUAGAAUGAUGAAUGGAAAGAUUAUUCAUAAAUAUAUUAGUUGUUUCAUUCAAGUGGGUUUUAUUGUGUGCUUUGGGCAGACUCAGAACCCAGUCUUAACCAUCUGAUUGGACCUCUAAAUGGUCUGUCAUAAUACAGUCAUACAAAAGAAACACUUUACGCAAUGGAACAUGAGCACGAAAGAGGCAAUUGUUUCCUGGCUGUUUCUCUAGCUCUUGCCAGCUUUUAUUGGCUCAGUGUAACAUUGGCAUUUAAAAACAGACGAUAAAGGAAUAUUGCAUUGCAAUGACAGCACACACAAGCAUGAAAUAUUUGAUGAGAACGAUAACAGGGUGCAUGGCAUUUUAUUAUGGAAGUCUGGAUCACAGGCUCACAUUCCAACAACAGCAUGAAUUCUGCAGUAUUUUGCCAUCACAAUAUUUGCUGUAAACACAUACCAAAGACACAUAUACUGUAACUAGACUCGUGAAUGAAUGGGUUGUACCUGGUAGUUCCUAGACUUCUGGAAGGUGCAUGCAGGUUUCUCAUUAAGGGACACACAAAGGACCAGAUUGUACAUGGCAAACAACUCCCUCCAAAACUUGUGGAUGUAUGGACUUGGGGAAACUCAGUUUCCAUUCAUAACACACAGCGGUACAACCAAGCGCAGUACAAGAUGCAGAAGCUCAAGGCACAAUGUUUUCAAAUAUCAAUUUCAAAAUUAACUUCAGAAUGUUUAGGGUGGUAAUCCGGAUUAAUGAACUACUGGGGACCUGAAGGGAUUGGCAGAGGAAAAGAAGAUGCAAGGACCUGAGUAGUCCUCUGCAGCCUUGGAACUUGUAAAGGUAUCAGCAGAGUUUCCACACUGUGCUUCAACUGUCCUAGUUUUGCACAGUAUCUCAGGGCCUUACUAGAGUAAAUGUUGGAAAACUCUUUUGAAAUGCUUUUAGAAGCAUCUGUGAGCAAAUUAGACUAGGACUGGAGUGCCUGAUUGCUUGGUCCAAUCUGAGAACUCAGAUGUGCCCCUUGCAAUCUCUUCAGAAGGAUGAGGCAGGGGGCAAAUCACCUGCUGGAUCAAUGUCUUAGCUGCACUUCGCCAUGCAAGGCACCUGCUGUGCCUUUUAACUCUUGUCUUGCCUAUGUACUGUGCUGACUGAAGCAUUAAAGAUUUUGGCAGAAACCAAAAUCAAAGCUCUUCAUCCACCCGGACAUUUCCUCCCAUUUAAGUGUGCAUGGAUCCACUCAGAUCUCUCCCAUGCUUCGUUUAGUUUGGCCUUCUCCCUCACAGUGCCAAAUGAUUUCCAGUGCUGGCAUUUAUGCAUAAACAGUCUUGGCAUAUUUAGAAGAUUUUAAUACUUCACUAUUGCAAGGUCUCCCUGUUAUAUGUUGAAGCAGACUUGGAAAUAUGUCUUGCAGCGCUGGCAAACUGUCAUAAACAUGCAGGCAAGAACAAGCCAGAUAUCUCUCCUACGGAACGAUGCACUCAAACUCUGGCAACCUGAUUGGUCCAUCAUUAUGUCACAGUGAAUGAAGACUGGUACUGACUACCAACCAGGAAUCUCUAGCUAAAAAACAGUACAGUUGCAAAUCUAAUGGCAACAGAAACAUCAAGCUAGGAAGGCCCUUCAGGCUUUAAAACCAAAAACCUCACCAGAUCUACAUUAUGCCAGUAUACCCCAAGUGUGCACUGGAGUUUGUGCUCUUCUCUAUCUUAGAAAAGCAACAGCGUGCAGAUGCUCCAACAGACAGACACAAGCAUUGACGUCUUGGACAAAAGAGAAAUAUACGAAGGGCCCAUCAUCAAGAGGCUUCAAGACAGGAA